Molecule: ribosomal RNA, 1347 nt
Filed under: Ptecticus tenebrifer
Lineage: Eukaryota; Metazoa; Arthropoda; Insecta; Diptera; Stratiomyidae
Description: 16S ribosomal RNA
Rfam family: Bacterial large subunit ribosomal RNA (bases 1044-1204)
Source: RNAcentral
UUGUUAAUUAAUUGUUGUUAUUAAAAAUAAUUUUAAAAUUUGAAUUUUUAGUAUAUUUUAAAGAAAAAAUAAUUUUAAUUAUAGUUUAUAGUAUUGUAAGAGAACAUUGAAAUAAUUUGAAAAAUUUUUAUGAUAAAAGAAUAUUUUAUUUAUAGUACCUUGUGUAUCAGGGUUUAUUAAUUAGUAAUUAAUUAUUUUAAUAUUCUCGAUUUUAAAAGAGUUAAUAAAUUAUUUAAAUUAAUGUGAAAAAAUUAUUUAAAAUAUUUAUUGGAAAUGAAAAGUUAUUCGUUUUUAAAGGUAUCUAGUUUUUAAAGAAAUAUAUUUAAUUUAGUUAUAUAAGUGCUUUGUUUUAUUUAAAAUAUUUCAUUAAUUAUAAUUAAUAAUAUAUGGGAUAAGCUAUAUAUUAAAUUUUUAAAAUUACUAAAUUUUUAUAAAAAAUAUAUGCUUAGAAUUAGCAAUUAUUUAUAAAUUUGUUAUAAAUUAUUUUAUAAUAAAAUUAUUUAGUUUGUAUUUAAUUAUUUAUUUAAAUAAUAAUUUUAAUUAAUAAAAUUAUUUAAUAAUGAUAAAAUUAGUAUAAAUUGUUUGUGUAAAUAAAUUUAUUUGUUAGAUUAGUUUAAAGAACUCGGCAAAUUUAUUAAUGUUCGCCUGUUUAACAAAAACAUGUCCUUUUGUAUUUUAUUUAAGGUCUAACCUGCCCACUGAGUAAUUGAAUGGCCGCAGUAUAUUAACUGUGCAAAGGUAGCAUAAUCAUUAGUCUUUUAAUUGAAGGCUUGUAUGAAUGGUUGGACGAGACAUUAACUGUUUCAAAUUAAUUUUUAGAAUUUUAUUUUUCAGUCAAAAAGCUGAAAUGUAAUUAAAAGACGAGAAGACCCUAUAGAUCUUGAUAAUUAAUUAGUUAAAUUUAUUUAGGAAAUUUAAAAUUUAAUUAAGUAAAUUAUUUUAUUGGGGUGAUAAUAAGAUUUAAUAAACUCUUAUAUUUUAAAUACAUAAAUUAAUGAAUUAUUGAUCCAUUAAUAGUGAUUAUUAGAUUAAGUUACCUUAGGGAUAACAGCGUAAUUUUUUUAGAGAGUUCAUAUCGAUAAAAAAGAUUGCGACCUCGAUGUUGGAUUAAAAUAUAUUUCUGGGUGUAGCAGUUCAGAAUAAUAAGUCUGUUCGACUUUUAAAUUUUUACAUGAUCUGAGUUCAAACCGGCGUGAGCCAGGUUGGUUUCUAUCUUUAAUUUAUUAAAAUAUUUUAGUACGAAAGGACCAAGUAUUUGAAAAAUUUUUUUUGAAAUUGAAUAUUAUUACUACUUUGGCAGAUUAGUGCAAUAAAUUUAGAAUUUAUAUAUGUAAUUGAUAAUUACAG